RNAcentral lists this ribosomal RNA (462 nucleotides) under uncultured bacterium. Its description in RNAcentral is "partial 16S ribosomal RNA". It matches the Rfam family "Bacterial small subunit ribosomal RNA", at positions 28 to 507 of the family's 1533-position model. The record is from RNAcentral.
GAUGAACGCUGACAGAAUGCUUAACACAUGCAAGUCUUUGGCGAAGCUGUGCUUGCACAGCCUAGCCAAGGCGGACGGGUGAGUAACGCGUAAGGAACUUGCCCUGCAGUCAGGGAUAACAGACGGAAACGACUGAUAAGACCUGGUAAAGUCAGGCGGACUCAUGUCCAGCCUGAUGAAAAGAGAUGCUGCAGGAGAGCCUUGCGUCCUAUUAGCUUGUUGGUGGGGUAACGGCCCACCAAGGCGAUGAUAGGUAGCCGGCCUGAGAGGGUGGACGGCCACAAGGGGACUGAGAUACGGCCCUUACUCCUACGGGAGGCAGCAGUGGGGAAUAUUGGACAAUGGGGGCAACCCCGAUCCAGCAAUUCUGUGUGCACGAUGAAGGUUUUCGGAUUGUAAAGUGCUUUCAGCAGGGAAGAAAAAAUGACGGUACCUGCAGAAGAAGCGACGGCUAAAUACGUG